GGAUCUACCCUAGAGAGGGGGAUAACCCGGGGAAACUCGGGCUAAUACCGCAUAUACUCUACGGAGGAAAGAAUGGGCUCUUCGGACCAUUCACUCUAGGAUGAACCUGCGUCGGAUUAGCUUGUUGGUGGGGUAAAGGCCUACCAAGGCGAGGAUCUGUAGCUGGUCUGAGAGGACGAACAGCCACACUGGGACUGAGACACGGCCCAGACUCCUACGGGAGGCAGCAGUGGGGAAUAUUGGACAAUGGGCGAAAGCCUGAUCCAGCAAUGCCGCGUGUGUGAAGAAGGCCUGAGGGUUGUAAAGCACUUUCAGCGGGGAGGAAGGAUAUUUGUCGAAUAGGCAAAUGUUUUGACGUUACCCGCAGAAGAAGCACCGGCUAACUCUGUGCCAGCAGCCGCGGUAAUACAGAGGGUGCAAGCGUUAAUCGGAAUGACUGGGCGUAAAGGGCGUGUAGGUGGAUAGAUAAGUUAUGUGUGAAAUAUCCGGGCUUAACCUGGAGAGGCCAUGUAAUACUGUUUAUCUAGAGUAGAGCAGAGGGAAGUAGAAUUUCCGGUGUAGCGGUGAAAUGCGUAGAGAUCGGAAGGAAUACCAGUGGCGAAGGCGGCUUCCUGGGCUCAUACUGACACUGAGGCGCGAAAGCGUGGGUAGCAAACAGGAUUAGAUACCCUGGUAGUCCACGCUGUAAACGAUGAGAACUAGAUGCUUGCUCAUUGAGAGUGAGUAUCGAAGCUAACGCAUUAAGUUCUCCGCCUGGGGAGUACGGUCGCAAGAUUA
RNAcentral lists this ribosomal RNA (777 nucleotides) under uncultured bacterium. Its description in RNAcentral is "bacterial SSU rRNA". It matches the Rfam family "Bacterial small subunit ribosomal RNA", at positions 121 to 896 of the family's 1533-position model. The record is from RNAcentral.